GGCCAGACAGAGAGCGGGGGAACGGGACUGACCCCAGGAGAAGGAGCGAGGCCAGAUUACGCUAACCCCGGCGCCAGAGGGAGAGUCCGAGCCCGGAAACCAGGGGCCGCAGGGACGCCAGGGGCAGGAGGCCGGUUGCAGGGGACGAAGCGGGGUGUGUGUGACAGGAGCCCUGCCGCCCAAAAGCGCAGAGCGCGGGCAAACUCCUCAGGGUGCACGCGAGCCCCAGCCGCCGGCAGCUGUAGCCGGCUCAUAACUCCACGCCGAGGUCCAUGGCGGGGGCUGUGUGUGGGGCGCCGCUGGCGGCCGCCGCCGCCUCCUGCUGCAGGUGCUCCUGCGCGGGCCUCGCCGCCGCCGCGCUCGGCUGCUGGAUACAACCCGCCUAACCCAUCGCCGCGCUGAGAGCCGGAGUCACAGGAGGGAGCUCCGCGUCCUCCUGCCGGUGUAUCAGCACAAAGUGCUCUCGCUCCCGUACACCUGCCCCCCGCCUGGCCCGGAGCGACGCUUCUUCCUGCCACGGGGUUACGGGGCUCCGCUUCCCGCGGGCGACCGACGCCCAGCGAGGAGCGGCUCUUUAUCUCCGUUUACCUAAACUACUAUUACCCGUCACAGACUCUUAACUGGAGCAUCAUUCCCCAGCUGCACAGGAUUGGACUCCAACCAAAUGGCUUUCAUGCAGUGUCCAGUUUUUGCCAGACACUGGGCACAGAAACCGUUGAGGAAUGUGGUCUAUAGGAAGAGACCACUGGAGAGGUAGAGGAGGAAACGCAGCUGGCUGGUGUUGAGAAUGAGCAACAUGGAAAGCAACACUCUGCUAUGUGUCCUACUCCUAGGCAGAUGAGACAUUGGGAGUGGCCAUCAUUAACAGGCAUGGCACAAUCAAAUGAGCAGUUCUUAAAGCCGGAUAGAGUGCACCAUGAUGGAGGAGUACCCCCUGGAUGGGGGUGAAGGAGUGUCUCACUACACAUACCCCUUAAAAGGUUUGUGUUUAUGUGACAUUAUUGACACGAACUGUGACCAUAUAGACCAUUGUUGCAACCAAGGUCAUAUAGUGGCACCAAAUCUUGUACAGGGGAGGUCAAGUGGGGUGUCUAUGACAAGGUUAUGGUUUGCUGGUUAUGAUUAUACUAUCUGUAUGCAUGUAUCAUUUUUGUAUUUAAAGUUAUAAGUAUUGGCUUUAUACUGUCUGUAUUUCAAACUUGUGCUAUGUUUCUGGGUGACACCGCACACAAUUUGGCAUCAGCACUGCCUAGCUUGCUUGAUGACCCAUUAAGGACCAUUAGCUAUACAACUGACCCAUUGAGAGAAGGCAGAUAUAUCUUGUGACUCAGCAAGGAAUGUAGGGACAUGCCUAUGGCCAGAACUCUAAGGUUUUUCCAUGCCAUGUACUAGAUAGCUUGUCUUUAGAACAAAGAAAACAGAGGCCACAUGGCAAGAGACUAUAAAAGACUGCUGCAUCUCCUCCAUCUUGUCUUCAAUCUUGCUUCUGACCCGUGGAGGAACUUUACUACAAACUGAAGCUCUGAAUAAAGGACUGAAUGACCCAUCCCAGCUGUGGAUGUACGCCAAGUCUCUGGAGUACAUUUGAACCUGUAGUUUAUUCCAUCACCGUUACAAGCCUGAACCAAGAACUUUGCCAUUACUGUGUGUAAUUGAUUCCAUUUAACUAAUUUUAGCUCACAUCUAUAUUUCUUUCUUUUAUGA
Long non-coding RNA from Malaclemys terrapin pileata, 1704 nucleotides. RefSeq lists it as uncharacterized. Lineage: Eukaryota; Metazoa; Chordata; Testudines; Emydidae. The record is from RefSeq and is a predicted model, not a curated record. The transcript has 5 exons.